This 72-nucleotide transfer RNA is filed under the name Bos taurus (domestic cattle). It matches the Rfam family "tRNA". From Rfam's summary of the family: Transfer RNA (tRNA) molecules are approximately 80 nucleotides in length. Their secondary structure includes four short double-helical elements and three loops (D, anti-codon, and T loops). RNAcentral also lists the same sequence under 1 other name. Lineage: Eukaryota; Metazoa; Chordata; Mammalia; Artiodactyla; Bovidae. The record is from Rfam by way of RNAcentral.
UCCCUGGUGGCUCAGAGGUUAAAGCGUCUGCCUCCAGUGCGGGAGACCCAGGUUCAGUCCCUGGGUUGGGAA